GUGCUUCUUUGGCAGCACAUAUACUAAAAUUGGAACGAUACAGAGAAGAUUAGUAUGGCCCCUGUGCAAAAAGCGAUAUAUAGGGCUGGUGGUGGCACACAUGUUA
Non-coding RNA from Erinaceus europaeus (western European hedgehog), 106 nucleotides. Lineage: Eukaryota; Metazoa; Chordata; Mammalia; Eulipotyphla; Erinaceidae. The record is from Rfam.